This 329-nucleotide unclassified non-coding RNA is filed under the name soil metagenome. RNAcentral describes it as "partial contains 5.8S ribosomal RNA, internal transcribed spacer 2, and large subunit ribosomal RNA". The stretch from base 1 to 120 matches the Rfam family "5.8S ribosomal RNA", at positions 35 to 154 of the family's 154-position model. The record is from RNAcentral.
GAUGAAGAACGUAGCGAAAUGCGAUAAGUAAUGUGAAUUGCAGAAUUCAGUGAAUCAUCGAAUCUUUGAACGCACAUUGCGCCCCUUGGUAUUCCGAGGGGCAUGCCUGUUCGAGCGUCAUUAUAACCCCUCAAGCUCAGCUUGGUGUUGGGGCCUGCUGCACUGGCAGCCCUUAAAAUCAGUGGCGGCGCCAUCUGGCUCUAAGCGUAGUAAUUCUUCUCGCUAUGGAGUCCUGGUGGAUGCUUGCCAUCAACCCCCAAUGUUUCUAUGGUUGACCUCGGAUCAGGUAGGGUUACCCGCUGAACUUAAGCAUAUCAAUAAGCGGAGGA